Molecule: ribosomal RNA, 492 nt
Filed under: uncultured bacterium
Lineage: Bacteria
Description: partial 16S ribosomal RNA
Rfam family: Bacterial small subunit ribosomal RNA
Source: RNAcentral
AGUGAACGCUGGCGGCAUGCCUAACACAUGCAAGUCGAACGGCAACACAGUGAGCUCUUGCUCUUACCGGUGGCGAGUGGCGGACGGGUGAGGAGUACAUCGGCAUCUUCUUUUUCGUGGGGGAUAACGUAAGGCAACUGACGCUACUACCGCAUACGACCUACGGGUUAAAUCAAUAGAGCUUCGCACCUUGCCCGUUUGAAUGAGAUGAUGUCGGAUUAGCUAGUUGGGUGGGUAACGGCCCACCAAGGCAACGAUCCGUAGCGGGUCUGAGAGGAUGAUCGGCCACACUGGAACUGAGACACGGUCCAGACUCCUACGGGAGGCAGCAGUGGGGAAUAUUGGACAAUGGGCGCAAGCCUGACCGAGCAACGCCGCGUGAGUGAAGAAGGCCUUCGGAUUGUAAAGCCCUGUUAUUGGGAAAGAAAAGAAGCGUGAGAAACUCCCGCUGUUCUGACGGUACCCAAAGAGAAAGCCCCGGCUAACUUCGUG